Molecule: non-coding RNA, 72 nt
Filed under: Pteridomonas danica
Lineage: Eukaryota; Dictyochophyceae; Pedinellales
Source: RNAcentral
GUAGGGCAGGUGGUUUUGAGAAAUUCUCUUCUGUUUUUCAUAGUUUUUUUUUUUUUUUUUUUUUUUUUUUUU